UCAGGACGAACGCSGGCGGCGUGCUUAACACAUGCAAGUCGAGCGGUAAGGCCCUUCGGGGUACACGAGCGGCGAACGGGUGAGUAACACGUGGGUGAUCUGCCUCGUACUCUGGGAUAAGCCUGGGAAACUGGGUCUAAUACCGGAUAUGACCACUGGUCGCAUGGUUGGUGGUGGAAAGAUUUAUCGGUGCGAGAUGGGCCCGCGGCCUAUCAGCUUGUUGGUGGGGUAAUGGCCUACCAAGGCGACGACGGGUAGCCGACCUGAGAGGGUGACCGGCCACACUGGGACUGAGACACGGCCCAGACUCCUACGGGAGGCAGCAGUGGGGAAUAUUGCACAAUGGGCGGAAGCCUGAUGCAGCGACGCCGCGUGAGGGAUGACGGCCUUCGGGUUGUAAACCUCUUUCGACAGGGACGAAGCGUAAGUGACGGUACCUGUAGAAGAAGCACCGGCCAACUACGUGCCAGCAGCCGCGGUAAUACGUAGGGUGCGAGCGUUGUCCGGAAUUACUGGGCGUAAAGAGCUUGUAGGCGGUUCGUCGCGUCGAUUGUGAAAACUUGCAGCUCAACUGCAAGCUUGCAGUCGAUACGGGCGGACUAGAGUACUUCAGGGGAGACUGGAAUUCCUGGUGUAGCGGUGAAAUGCGCAGAUAUCAGGAGGAACACCGGUGGCGAAGGCGGGUCUCUGGGAAGUAACUGAC
This 703-nucleotide ribosomal RNA is filed under the name Nocardia sp. P3686. RNAcentral describes it as "bacterial SSU rRNA". It matches the Rfam family "Bacterial small subunit ribosomal RNA", at positions 24 to 744 of the family's 1533-position model. Lineage: Bacteria; Bacillati; Actinomycetota; Actinomycetes; Mycobacteriales; Nocardiaceae. The record is from RNAcentral.